GACGAACGCUGGCGGCGUGCCUAAUACAUGCAAGUUGAGCGCUGAAGGUUGGUACUUGUACCAACUGGAUGAGCAGCGAACGGGUGAGUAACGCGUGGGGAAUCUGCCUUUGAGCGGGGGGCAACAUUUGGAAACGAAUGCUAAUACCGCAUAAAAACUUUAAACACAAGUUUUAAGUUUGAAAGAUGCAAUUGCAUCACUCAAAGAUGAUCCCGCGUUGUAUUAGCUAGUUGGUGAGGUAAAGGCUCACCAAGGCGAUGAUACAUAGCCGACCUGAGAGGGUGAUCGGCCACAUUGGGACUGAGACACGGCCCAAACUCCUACGGGAGGCAGCAGUAGGGAAUCUUCGGCAAUGGACGAAAGUCUGACCGAGCAACGCCGCGGGAGUGAAGAAGGUUGUCGGAUCGUAAAACUCUGUUGGUAGAGAAGAACGUUGGUGAGGGUGGAAAGCUCAUCAAGUGACGGUAACUACCCAGAAAGGGACGGCUAACUACGUG
RNAcentral lists this ribosomal RNA (497 nucleotides) under uncultured bacterium. RNAcentral's name for it is "partial 16S ribosomal RNA". It matches the Rfam family "Bacterial small subunit ribosomal RNA", at positions 28 to 507 of the family's 1533-position model. The record is from RNAcentral.